This is a long non-coding RNA of Poecilia latipinna (sailfin molly), 1530 nucleotides long. RefSeq lists it as uncharacterized. The transcript has 2 exons. The record is from RefSeq and is a predicted model, not a curated record. Lineage: Eukaryota; Metazoa; Chordata; Actinopteri; Cyprinodontiformes; Poeciliidae.
UUGCUGGCCUCAUUUUAAAGUUAGAGUUCAUGAUUUAACAAUAAGAAAGAUUCUUGGCAUCUGAGGAACAGCUCCAGAGUGAAAACCACGGCUAACGAAAGAGAACACAAAGGUUUGUUGUACAUUUGUGAAAAAAAAACAAAAAAAAACAUCCUGAUGAUCCUCUAGACUUUAGGACACAAAACUGGAAAAGUGAAAUCUAACAAACUAAUCACAAAGAUAAAGAAAGUAGCACAAAUGAAUAAACUAAUACAGCAACCCCAAAACUAUGAUAAACGAAAAAAUCUGGCAAAAUCUAAUAGAACAAAAAGAAACAAACAACAAAACCAGAUGCAAUCAGUCCUGAACUUAAUCAUUAUAAUCACAAUCUUAACCCUGCAAAAUGAGCACAAGCCAUUGCAUUCAGUUCAUCUUGGCUUAUUGUCACCCUUGGUUUUGUUGGAUAUUAAAAAAAUAACAACAUUUUCAUACUUUUCUAUAAUUAAAGUUGAAUCUACUUUCACAUGACCUUUAAUUCUUUGUGUCUCUCUCUCUAUAUAUAUAUGAACCAUCACCGCAUAGUUUCCCAACUUUAACGAGCUGUAAAGUCACAAAGGAUGGCGUGUUUCAGCUAUAGACGGCCGUAUAUCUUUCAUUCGGCUGUAUACGUUCAAAGUCAGAGCGGUUUGUUAUCUUAUGAAAACUGGUACAUAGCGAGACGUCUUCCUACCCUCCCAUUCCGCUCCAGCACACCUUUUUGCUGUGCAAGCAGAGAUGUACAAAGACAAUGAUGAAUCCCACCUGCUCAUUUCAUAUCCAACAAAUCGGGCCUCCUAAAUGUUGCUCGUAAAUUUCCUUUCUGAUCUGAUCAAACCAGAUAGCCUGUGGGAUUAUAUUCAUGACUGCAGUCCAGAGGAGCAAGAGGCCAACAGUAGUGGUAGCUCCUGGGCAAAUACAAACAAAUUAAAGGCUUGUUUUAUGAGCUCACUGACUUCAUUUGGGCUUUCCCUCUUUAUUACUCUAGUGGGAGAGAAGGAAAAAAAAACGACGAAUGUUCAAAGUUAGGAGGCCUCCUCACACUGUCAGCGGCUCUUGAAGCGGGCGCUCAAUUGAAACUGCUUUGUUUUUGGGGUUAUGGGGGCAAAAAGCAAACCCACCUGCCCCCUUUUUGAUGCCUGGAUCAGAGGAGGCCAGGUGUAAGGAGAGAAUGUCUGAAGCCCUGCAGAUGCUCAGGCUUGCAUCAGAGUCCCGAGACACUCUUAGGCAGAAAACGCUACACCUACAGUUGUCAAAAUGUGACCAGAGACAUCUGAUAUGCUCUCUGAGUGAGUGGUUAGCUGACAUGCAUGAGCUCUUCAAACAAGUGCAGACAGAUUGACUUCUCUGCAACAACAGAAGCAGAGCAGGAUGUAGACGAUGAAGGCCUCCUGUCCACGUGCUCCUUGUGUCUCAGACUUCCAGGGGUACUUUCCACGUCUAGGGUUACUUAGCAGGUUUUAACAGGCGGAGUGGCAGCUCACCACAGGAGGAUAAAAGUCACUGCACCAUGAA